AGUGAACGCUGGCGGUAGGCCUAACACAUGCAAGUCGAACGGCAGCACAGUAAGAGCUUGCUCUUACGGGUGGCGAGUGGCGGACGGGUGAGGAAUACAUCGGAAUCUACUUUUUCGUGGGGGAUAACGUAGGGAAACUUACGCUAAUACCGCAUACGACCUACGGGUGAAAGCAGGGGAUCUUCGGACCUUGCGCGAUUGAAUGAGCCGAUGUCGGAUUAGCUAGUUGGCGGGUUAAAGGCCCACCAAGGCGACGAUCCGUAGCUGGUCUGAGAGGAUGAUCAGCCACACUGGAACUGAGACACGGUCCAGACUCCUACGGGAGGCAGCAGUGUGGAAUAUUGGACAAUGGGCGCAAGCCUGAUCCAGCCAUACCGCGUGGGUGAAGAAGGCCUUCGGGUUGUAAAGCCCUUUUGUUGGGAAAGAAAAGCAGCAGGUUAAUACCCCGCUGUUCUGACGGUACCCAAAGAAUAAGCACCGGCUAACUUCGUG
RNAcentral lists this ribosomal RNA (492 nucleotides) under uncultured bacterium. RNAcentral's name for it is "partial 16S ribosomal RNA". It matches the Rfam family "Bacterial small subunit ribosomal RNA", at positions 29 to 507 of the family's 1533-position model. The record is from RNAcentral.